RNAcentral lists this ribosomal RNA (253 nucleotides) under uncultured bacterium. RNAcentral describes it as "partial 16S ribosomal RNA". It matches the Rfam family "Bacterial small subunit ribosomal RNA", at positions 524 to 776 of the family's 1533-position model. The record is from RNAcentral.
UACGGAGGGUGCAAACGUUGCUCGGAAUUAUUGGGCGUAAAGCGCACGUAGGCGGCCGACUAAGUCGGGUGUGAAAGCCCUGGGCUCAACCCAGGAAGUGCACUCGAAACUGACCGGCUUGAAUAUGGAAGAGGGUUGCGGAAUUCCCGGUGUAGAGGUGAAAUUCGUAGAUAUCGGGAGGAACACCAGUGGCGAAGGCGGCAACCUGGGCCAAUAUUGACGCUGAGGAGCGAAAGCGUGGGGAGCGAACAGG